CCCGCUGCACUUAAGCAUAUCACUUAGCGGAGGAAAAGAAACUAACAAGGAUUCCCUCAAUAACGGCGAGUGAACGGGAA
This is a non-coding RNA of Oesophagostomum dentatum (nodular worm), 80 nucleotides long. The record is from Rfam. Lineage: Eukaryota; Metazoa; Nematoda; Chromadorea; Rhabditida; Strongylidae.